AAGUCGUAACAAGGUCUCCGUAGGUGAACCUGCGGAGGGAUCAUUACAGAGUUCUCGCCCUCGCGGGUAGAUCUCCCACCCACUGUGAUUGCUACCGUGUUGCUUUGGCGGGCCGCCGGGCCCAGCCCGGCCGCCGGCUCCGGCCAGCGCGUGCCCGCCAGAGGCCCAGCAAACUCUGAAUGUCAGCGUCGUCUGAGUACACUAUACAAUAGUUAAAACUUUCAACAACGGAUCUCUUGGUUCUGGCAUCGAUGAAGAACGCAGCGAAAUGCGAUAAGUAAUGCGAAUUGCAGAAUUCAGUGAGUCAUCGAAUCUUUGAACGCACAUUGCGCCCUGUGGUAUUCCGCAGGGCAUGCCUGUUCGAGCGUCAUUUCAACCCUCAAGCUCUGCUUGGUGUUGGGCCCUGCCCGCUGCGGCCGGCCCCAAAGACAGUGGCGGCGCCGCCUGGCCCUGAGCGUAGUACGUCUCUCGCUCCAGUGCCCGGCGGUGGCCUGCCAGAACCCCCGACUCUCUUGGUUGACCUCGGAUCAGGUAGGGAUACCCGCUGAACUUAA
Molecule: ribosomal RNA, 554 nt
Filed under: uncultured fungus
Lineage: Eukaryota; Fungi
Description: eukaryotic LSU rRNA
Rfam family: 5.8S ribosomal RNA (bases 217-370)
Source: RNAcentral